This is a long non-coding RNA of Amblyraja radiata (thorny skate), 150 nucleotides long. RefSeq lists it as uncharacterized. The record is from RefSeq and is a predicted model, not a curated record. Lineage: Eukaryota; Metazoa; Chordata; Chondrichthyes; Rajiformes; Rajidae. The transcript is spliced from 3 exons.
GGAACCACUACACUUCCUGGCCCAACCACCUCCACCGCUGGGACAUCAACAACCGCAGGGACCGGCAGCACUCCAGCCCCAAGUACAUCCCCGACAACACCAAGUACAACUUCAGUGACGGGAACCACUACACUUCCUGGCCCAAUCACC